This is a non-coding RNA of Phascolarctos cinereus (koala), 327 nucleotides long. NCBI's taxonomy places the organism in Eukaryota, Metazoa, Chordata, Mammalia, Diprotodontia, Phascolarctidae. The record is from RefSeq and is a predicted model, not a curated record.
CGCCCCGCGCGAGGACGCACCUGCUGCCCUCCCCCGCCGGAGGCGCUGGGACGGGUAGGAGUCUUUAGCGCCCGCUCCCUCUCCUAGGUGAAAACCCCCUGAACAAACAUCCUUGCUGGCUGCUCCUGGGAGUGAAGCUGAGCUUCCAGACUUUCAACCUACCUGUGGAGGAUUCAUGUGGGAAAUGAAAGAAGGCUCACUGGUGUUAACUUCCUUUGGACUGUUAGAGAUUUACAAGGAGGUGCUGAUUUGAAGUGUUAAGGAAGAAGUUGUAAGGAGAUGAGAAUAUGAGAAAACAGGAGGAAAAUUCACAGCAGCUGGAAGUAC